This 599-nucleotide long non-coding RNA is filed under the name Equus asinus (donkey). Its description in RNAcentral is "lncRNA (ENSEASG00005036202.1)". Lineage: Eukaryota; Metazoa; Chordata; Mammalia; Perissodactyla; Equidae. The record is from RNAcentral.
GGGGCAAAGCUUAAGAGAAACAUUUAAGGAAACACCCACUUGGAAGGAAGAACCAAGAGUUGACUCCAUUCCAAGUGAUCCACUACCAAGUAAUCUGGUCACCAUGUUAGCUCCAUCCGAAUGGUGUGUGAAAUGCUGAGGGUGACUGGACACAGAGUGGAGUCCUGCCCAGGAGCAUGUGAUAGACGGGACCAGGCAGGCAGCAUUGCAAACCAGCCUCUGCUCCUCUAGCAGAGCGUGUGGCUUGGCAUGGGGGAGUGGUGUCAGUCCAGAGGAAGAGGCACCUCUUAGCAAUCCAUCAGCCAAGAGAGAUGUCUUUGUGUAAUUAUCUUCCCAGAAGACCCAUGAAAUAUCAAACGCUGGACACUUUUCAAAACAAAACAUUUUACAAAACAAAAGACGGCUCAUGAGGACCACCAGUGACCUCCGAGGGAUCAUCAGUAGCUCUUAAGAUCACAUUUUGGAGAAAAGUCGUCAGAUCUAAAGUUACCUAACUUUUAGACUCAGAAUUGAAACAGUUGUGAGCUUUGGGUCAUCAUAUUCUAAGUGAUAUUGUAUGAAAAGUCAUAUAUUAAAGAAUCAAAAUCAUUGUUUCCUUA